Molecule: small nuclear RNA, 95 nt
Organism: Camelus dromedarius (Arabian camel)
Lineage: Eukaryota; Metazoa; Chordata; Mammalia; Artiodactyla; Camelidae
Source: Ensembl
GUGCUCAUUUCCACAGCACGUUUACUAAAACUGGAAUAAAGAUACGGCCCCUGCAUAAGGAGGGCAUGCAAAUUCCUGAAGACUUCCAUAUUUUU